Molecule: ribosomal RNA, 501 nt
Filed under: uncultured bacterium
Lineage: Bacteria
Description: bacterial SSU rRNA
Rfam family: Bacterial small subunit ribosomal RNA
Source: RNAcentral
AGUGAACGCUGGCGGCAGGCCUAAUACAUGCAAGUCGAACGACAGCACAGUGGAGCUUGCUCCAUGGGUGGCGAGUGGCGGACGGGUGAGGAAUACAUGGGAUCUGCCCAGUCGUGGGGGAUAACGUAUGGAAACGUACGCUAAUACCGCAUGCGCCCUUCGGGGAAAGUCGGGGACCGCAAGGCCUGACGCGAUUGGAUGAGCCCAUGUUCGAUUAGCUAGUUGGCGGGGUAACGGCCCACCAAGGCGACGAUCGAUAGCUGGUCUGAGAGGAUGAUCAGCCACACUGGAACUGAGACACGGUCCAGACUCCUACGGGAGGCAGCAGUAGGGAAUAUUGGACAAUGGGCGCAAGCCUGAUCCAGCCAUGCCGCGUGAGUGAAGAAGGCCCUCGGGUUGUAAAGCUCUUUUGUUGGGGAAGAAAAGCAGUUGGUAAUACCGAUUGUUCUGACGGUACCAAAGAAUAAGCACCGGCUAACUUCGUGCCAGCAGCCGCGGUAA